This 497-nucleotide ribosomal RNA is filed under the name uncultured bacterium. RNAcentral describes it as "partial 16S ribosomal RNA". It matches the Rfam family "Bacterial small subunit ribosomal RNA", at positions 28 to 507 of the family's 1533-position model. The record is from RNAcentral.
GACGAACGCUGGCGGCGUGCCUAAUACAUGCAAGUUGAGCGAUGAAGAUUGGUGCUUGCCCCAAUUUGAAGAGCAGCGAACGGGUGAGUAACGCGUGGGGAAUCUGCCUUUGAGCGGGGGACAACAUUUGGAAACGAAUGCUAAUACCGCAUAAUAACUUUAAACAUAAGUUUUAAGUUUGAAAGAUGCAAUUGCAUCACUCAAAGAUGAUCCCGCGUUGUAUUAGCUAGUUGGUGAGGUAAAGGCUCACCAAGGCGAUGAUACAUAGCCGACCUGAGAGGGUGAUCGGCCACAGUGGGACUGAGACACGGCCCAAACUCCUAAGGGAGGCAGCAGUAGGGAAUCUUCGGCAAUGGACGAAAGUCUGACCGAGCAACGCCGCGUGAGUGAAGAAGGUUGUCGGAUCGUAAAACUCUGUUGGUAGAGAAGAACGUUGGUGAGAGUGGAAAGCUCAUCAAGUGACGGUAACUACACAGAAAGGGACGGCUAACUACGUG